GACGAACGCUGGCGGCGUGCUUAACACAUGCAAGUCGAACGGAAAGGCCCGGCUUUUGUGGGUUGCUCGAGUGGCGAACAGGUGAGUAACACGCGAGUAACCUGCCCUUGACAGUGUGAUAACUUCAGGAAACUGGGGCUAAUACCGGAUAGGAGCUCCUGCUGCAUGUUGGGGGUUGGAAAGUGUCGGCGGUUGGAGAUGGACUCGAGGCUUAUCGGCUGGAUGGUGUGGUAGUGGAUUACCAAGGCUUUGAAGGCUAGGCGGCCUGGGAGGGUUAACGGCGACAAUGCGACUGAGGGAGGGCGCAGACUGCUACGGGCGGCAGUAGUGGGGAAUCUUGCAGAACGGGGGGGAGCCUGAUGCAGCAACGCCGCGUGCGGAAUGACGUCCUUCUGGUUGUAAACCUCUUUCGAAUGUGACGUAGCGAGAGUGACGGUAAUGGGUCAAGAAGCAACGGCUAACUACGUG
RNAcentral lists this ribosomal RNA (468 nucleotides) under uncultured bacterium. Its description in RNAcentral is "partial 16S ribosomal RNA". It matches the Rfam family "Bacterial small subunit ribosomal RNA", at positions 28 to 507 of the family's 1533-position model. The record is from RNAcentral.